UGGCAGAGGACUCUUACAAGUAAAACAAGCAGUCAAAGAAGAACAUGCCCUGGCAGAAUAUGUAAAGCAAAGUGAAGAACCUGCUUUGAUUGAAGUUAAAAAUCAGAAACUCCUCAAAGCACAGCAGACAAAAAAACAGUACAAGAAAACCGCACUACAAACUAGAGCUGACAGCUGGCACAACAAAACAUUGCAUGGAAAGUUCCUUGACAAAAUUGAAGGAAAGGCUGACAAGGAGAAGACCUGGCUAUGGCUCACAAAUGGGACACUGAAGAAGGAGACAGAAGGCCUGAUCCUUGCAACCCAGGAGCAAGCCAUCAGAACAAAUGCAAUUAAAGCCAAGAUCGAAAAAUCAGCAGUUGACCCAAAAUGCAGACUGUGUAAGGAAGCUGACAAAACCAUUGAUGAUAUCCUCAGCUGCUGUAAAAAAAAUCGCACAGACAGACUACAAACAGAGGCACAACUAUGUGGCAUAUCUGUCUUGUUUGCUCUGUCAUACAAUAAAAUAAAGUUUAUUUGUAUCCCAUCCCCUCUCCCCAGGGGACUCGGGGCAGCUUACAACAUAAUAAUGCAAUACAAUAAGUGCAAUACAGAAAAUUAUAUAGAAUACGACAAACAAUUAAAAACACAUCCAAUUGAUAUAAAACAAAAUAUGACACAAGUAACAAAACAGCAAUAAAAUUAUGAAUAUUAGAAUAAAACAGUUUUUUCUAUGAGCUACAGGGGCUUGCUACUCCGAUAGAGGUAAAUCCAUAUAACAGAGAGAAUAACUAAUCACUGCCAAAAGCCUGUUUAAAUAACCAGGUCUUCAAGUUCCUCCUAAAUGCUGUAAGAGUGGGUGCUUGUCUGAUCUCCCCGGGGAGGAUGUUCUAGAGUUGGUGGGGGCACUAUUGAGAAGGACCUCUCCCUCAUCCCCCAUUGGCCUCACCUGACCCAAACAGGUUGUAAGGGGGGGGGGGCGGUCGCAUAAAUAGGCUGGACCUGAGCUGUACAGUGCUUUAUAGGUAAUAACCUGCACUUUGAAUUGGGCUCGGAAGCAAAUAGGCAACCAGUGAAGCUCCUUCAGCAGGGGGUCGUAUGAUCUCUAUAACCCACCCCCAUCAGUAGCCUGACUGCUGAUUUUUGUAUUAGUUGAAGCUUGAAAGCUGUCUUCAUCCCUAUGUAGAGUGUAAUCCAUACGAGAUGUAACUAAGGCAUGGAUCACCUUGACCAGAUCUGACUUUUCGAGGUACAGUAGCAGUUGGCACACAAGCUUUAAUUGUGCAUAGGCCCUCCCGGCCACCGCCAACACCUGAGCUUCAAGUAUCAGCACUGAGUCCAGGAGGACCCCCAAACUGUGGACCUAUGUUUUCAGGAGGAGUGUAACCCCAUCAGGCACAGGUUGCCACCCUAUACCCUGAUGGAGGACAUACCUUCCCCAAUAUUGAUGGAACAUAUAGCCUUGGAGAAAGGGACCUUAAAUCUCCACCAUUUAAAAAAAAAAACAGGGAGAGGAGAGGGUUUCUCUCUGUGUUUAAAUGGACCUCUCCUUGGUAGCCAGUAAUAAAACAAUCACAGUGCCACUUUCCAGGGGUAAUACAUACAAGCAAAGCAUUGCCCAUUUAUAGGGCAACUAGCUGUGCCCAGCCACGCAUUGCUGUGGCUAGGACUUAAUUUUUCUUUUCUUUUUGUUGUAUGAACAUAGAGGUGUGGAUGAGAGAUUGUGCUGUCAAUUUUCGAGGUUGUGGGGCGUUUAGUUUAGUUGUUUUGUCUGGUGCCGUGAUUCCAUUACCCUUUUAUAUAUAGAGAUGGAAUCAGCCCAGCCAACUAGCUUCUGUGUUUAUUUGGUGACCAAUUAUAAAGAAGUGUGGUGAGCUAUCAUAUCUUGCAUGGUUGUUGUUUUUUCACAGUAGGGACAGGUGUUUUUGUGAGAAUCUGGGUUGACCUCCCCUGGCAGCCUAAAUAAACACCCCAAUGAAGAGACUAUUUUUCCUUGAAGCCUGAUGGAAUCACCACGCACAGCGUUCUGCUUUAGUUUCCUUUUAAGAAUGCAUCACAUUGAGCACAAAGGUGAUUAGCUGAUGUUGCCACUGGUUUCCAUGGUUACCAGCUGGCAUUCAGCAGCCCAUUGUGACACAAGUACCGUCCUGUUUCCUGCUAAUGACAUAAAUAUUCACAACUCUGGAACUAUUGAUAAAAGCCUAUAUUUUUACCUAGAAUAAUUCUGUAGCUCUUGAUGAAUUUCUCAGCAGGGUGCCAGCUUCGUCUCCUUCAAGAAGCAAUGCCAUUUUAAGAUUUCAACAGGCGGACAAAAGGUCACUUGAAUGGAGGGAAUGGAAACCAAGGCUGCUCGAGUAAAGUUUCCCUGAUACCUUAGGCUUGCUAACUGGUUAAAAAAAUGUCUGCUUGCCAACUCUCAUCCCAUGACAUAGAUCCACUUCUGGAAGUGGUCCGUGGUGCAAACUGCCAUACACUGCCACGGCGGCAAUAUAGGAGGCUUCAACGGGGAAGCCAGGUGGUGGAUGCUUCCCCAUGAGUUGAGGUAAGGGAGAAGCUGGAUGAUGCAAGCUGGAUGGGCGACAGUUUCCUCACUCCACCCACGCCGGACACCGCUGGAUUCGCCACAAUCCAUGGCAAAUUGGCAGCUUAAUGUGUUGAGGGCCUUAGUUCCUUCCCUUCUCCAGUGCAUAUUAGGCAAUAAAGGUAGGCCAAUAAGCACCCAAAGUAGAAGAGGAGAAUUAGUUCGGUUCUGGUAAAAUUGCUAACUGUAGGAUUCUUGGAAGAAGCAGAAUUAUGAUACAAGCCUAGCACAAAGUUUGAAAACUUAUUUUUAAAAUGAAUUAAUUACAAUAAUCAUUCCCUGGUUCCCAUUUUAGACUUGUUUUUCAAAAAAAUAUUGUCUUGUUUCUGUUUUGAAGCAGAGAUAUUUAAAAUAGUUACUAUCUGGUUGCUUAAAACCAGUGCAAGAAACAGCAUACUCCAUCAUGUAACCUUCCUUUACAAUUGGGUCAGAUUUGUUAACUGACUAUAUAAGUAAUAUUUAAAGAUCCCUGACAAACACCCAGACUAAGACAAUAGCCAAACCUCUGAAUGACAGUUGAGCAUUUGAUAUAUACAAUAAUAUUUUUAAAGAGAAAUUCGGAAUCUCAUUAACCAGGAGCAAUUCCCCAUUGUCUUAUUGAUAGAAGACAGGAAAAUUUCAUCACAUAAGGGUGACUUAUCCCUCUUUAUCCAAAUGUCCCAUAAUCACCCACCAUUGUUCCAUUCCAAGUUGUUACUGGGACAUGACUAUCCAGCAACAACUUGAAAUCAAUAAAACUUUAUUAAAGUUCCCACCAUACAUGAUCUGCCAAUCUAAUUAAUCAGAAUUUCAGAAUGCAUCUACGUUAAACCAAUGAGAAACAAAUUGUAUAUACUGGACCAAUAAGGGCAAAGCACAUUGUUUUUGUGACUUGAUAAAGUAUGGGUGGCCUCCACCAUAAGGACAUGCCAUAUUUUGGAACCUUUGCCUGGCAUCUAAUCACUGAAAAAUAGAAACCUUUGGUCUAGCACCCUUCUCUUGGAAUAUCAGAGCUUCAACACUCCGGGACUGGACUCUCCCAUUCUUAGGAUAAAAAUGGAACCAAGUAAUGGUGCAAAAGAAGCCUCAAUUUUUAGUUGACAAGGACAUCACAUUGGUAUGUUCUUGAUAAAUGGUAAAAAAGAAACUAUUAAUUUCUAGUUCAGGCUUCAUAUUUCUGCCAGGAAACAGAAUUAGCCUUAGGUCUGUUACAAAUCAGCAGUGUGGAGUGCAACACAGAUCCAGUAAUUACGCCUUUGCUGCAUAGGGCCCAGCUAUCUUCCCUCAAGGAUACUCUUGGGACAUUACAUUUCUUUGCCACUCAGAUGGCAGUAGAUUGUUGCUGUGGGAAUAUCAUUAUUUUCCCAGCUAACAAUAAGAGGUUGUUCUUCUGUACUUCUGCUAGCAGAGCCCUGUUUUUCUGACUGCCUCAUGAAUGUGCCAGUGAAUCAAUUAGCCAGCAGAACUGCUCUGCGGUCUAAGAUUUGUCAACAGAUAAGCAACAACAAAAGGGAGAAAGAGUAGAGAUAAAGAGAAAUUAAUUUAUACAAGAUCCAAACUUCUCCAAACAAUAAGUGUCAAGACAAAGUUAGGCCAGGGUGAGGAUGAAUGUAAAUAAUUUUCAGUAUCUUUAGGCUGAAUAGGGUUUGGAUUUAGUGUUAUCUCCAUUGGUCAUCUUGGCCAAUUAAGAUUGUGCUCUUAAACAGCAAGCAAGGCCAAGCAAAUAUAAUGUGCUGACCUAUCAAUUGAAAUGAACACGUUUCAUUAAUUUCUGUCCAAAUCUCUUAUCCCAUUGAUAUAGUUCUAUCUAUUUCGAAGUGUUAAGAUACUCAAUGUAUUGCUAUAUCAUAGUGAUCAAACAUCCAAGCACCAAAUGUUUAGAUUUUUAACAAACAUCAUCCACCCUGCUCUAUGUUGUUGCAGAUACCAUUUCGAAACCUGAUCUAUGUGGAUUCUCAUUCUGUUGUAUCUGAAUUUUAUUUGAUGCAAACUGUUUUGAAAUAGCCAAGAUUAGCAAGCAUCACAUUCAAUUCUUUGCAUCUUCCCUCUGGAGUUUACAUUCAGGAAAUGAAAGUAGUGUGCAGAAGAAGAGCAAAAUGCGGGAGAUGUUUAAUGGUAUCCCUGAUGUUUAUUCCUUCUCAAAAUGACCUCUUUAAAGUUGUUUUUCUCACCACAAGAGAAAGGAUAUAAACACUUAAUUGUGCUGUUGCAUCUUUGACAUUAUUAGAAAUAUGGCGCAGUGUAGCCAUUUGGAAUGCCAAUGGUGAACCUUUGAGAAGGACUGUAGCUCAUUGGUUCAUAUGCAGGAAAUCCCAAGUAUAAUAUCAGGUAGAGUUAAAAAGGAAUCAUAUCUAAAAUCUCUGAGAGUCAUUGCUAGUCAGUGUCAAAAAUACAGAGCUAGAUGGAUUAAUGAUGUGAUUCAGUAUAAUGAAGUCUUGAGUUUCAGAUCAGUUCUCAGCCUUGGACUAGUCAAGCUACUUUUUCUUAACUUUUGAUCCCUACUUGCUAUAGGAGGGCAUCAAAUCCAUGAAUAUUAGUAAGUCCCACUGGUUAAAAUGAAACAUAUUCUCAGAUGAAUAUGCAUUAGCUCCCUUAUCUACCUAGUUCUUUAAAAAGAAUAGCCUUGAAAACGAAAGUAUAUUUUUGAUACUGGCAUCCUAGCAUUUUUGAUGAAAGAAAAUUGGUAUGAUAACACAAAGGAAACUGGAUAUAUCUAUAUUAAUAUUUUCUUGUACACAAACUGUGUGGAUGGGUCCUUAGUGAAAGGAAUGUAAAUGCAUGGAUUAUCUCCAUUGAGAAAGCCUUGCUUUCGAUGGAUAUGGUGUGAUAUGGAAGCUCUUAAUCUCCAUUGAAUCAAUUAUAUAAAAAUGUCACAAAUCUUUGGAUGUUGUAAUCAUGACAUGAUAAAUAUGCAUAGAUGAAGCAGCCAUUCAUGUUAGAGUUUUAUCUAAAGGAACUUGACUGCUACAUAAUGCUUCAUUCUUAUAGUAUCUAUAGCUUUAGUAUAUAAAAAAACCACCUCUCAAAAUAGUAAAAUAUGAUACUUGAAUCUGCGGGGUGUAUUAUUACAGCAACUUUUUGUUGCAGUAGGAUUUUCUCAAUGAAUACCAUUACAUUAUCUUCUUAUACAAAGAUCACACUGGGAGGUCUCUCAAAAGGGUAUGUGUGAAGAAGUGUAUAAUUAUAUUCUGUAUAUAGAUGAAAUGUGUAUUUAAUUUUGUUUAAACAGUCAGGUUUGGCUAAGUUUAAAAUGGUGAGUAUUAGAGUGAAUUGAUAUGUAUGAGGGAAGGUAGCCAUCUUAGAAUGCUAGAACAGGUUACCAUAGCAACAGGGGCGGAGCCAACCGCCGCUUGGAAAGGAAAAGGGGAAUGUUUUAAAACCCAGCAGUCUGUGAUUUCCAUCCACAGUGAAGGAACUGGUUCUCAGGUAGAGAAUCAGGGUGACUCAGAAGAAUUUGAGUCAGGCCUAAAAUAAAAGGAUUUAUUUUAGGAGUCUGUGAUUUUCCAGUCACAGUGGUGGAUCUGAUUCUUGUGUGGAGAAUCAGGCUGGCUUAAAUAGAAAGAUUUGAGUCAGAUUUAGGUUGGACCAGACUAGGCAAGUUAGGUGAUUUGUCUAGGGUCAUCUGUAGAGUCUGUGGAUUAGGGAACAUUAAUCCCAGGGGAUCCAGUAGGAUCAGGGUUUAGUGUAAUCCAGGGAAAGAAGUAUUUUGAAAGUUUAACCACCUCAUAACUGUUUGUAACCAUUAAGCGAAGUGCCUUUACUAAGUUAUCUGAAACCAUCAAGCUCUGUACCUGCAAUAAACUUGUUUUGAUUUUAUUCUAACUAAGCCUCUGUCAUACUCUCAUAAUAAGUUAAGUAACAUCAACACCUGAAGUGGAACAAAUAGAGAAAGCUUAUAAGAACCAGUACCAUCUGCCUGACAUCUCCAUUGGUGGCAGCGAAGAAGAAGAUAAACAAAUAAUCAAUUAACAUCAUCUCUUAUAAAACAUCUUUAUUAAGUGGUGGUAUCUGUGUGUGUGCGUGGGUGGGAUUCAAAGGGGAUUCCAUCCUCUGCCACAUAAGUUCCCUACAUAAAUUGGUGGCAGCGGUGGGAUCUGAAGGGAUUCCAUCCUCUGCCACAUCAGCUCUCCACAUAAAUUGGUGGCAGCGGUGGGAUCUGAAGGGAUUCCAUCCUCUGCCACAUCAGCUCUCCACAUAAAUUGGUGGCAGCGGUGGGAUCUGAAGGGAUUCCAUCCUCUGCCACAUCAGCUCUCCACAUUAAUUGGUGGCAGCGGUGGGAUUCAAAGAGGGAUUCCAUCCUCUGCCACAUCAAGUCUUGACAGUAUCUUAUCUAGAUUGUUAUCUGACAUUGUUUGCAUAUGUAAUUCAAAUUGUUCAGGAGAAAAACCAAGCUAUAACAAUAAACUGAAUAGCUCCCUACCUGGCUCAUUCAGAAUCACAUAUGGUUCGCUGGAGCUUUUAUGGAAUAAGACACUGUGGGCCUAUAUAUUUUUAUGGAAUGUACAAUCAGUAAAAUGAUAUAGGGAAGUAAUGCUGUAGUGUUUUCAUUUUUGUCAUUUAUUUUGUUUUUUAUGUUUUUGUUUCUGUCUUUCUUGCCUAAUUUAAUUCAUCUUACUUUUGAUUCAUUUGAAAUGUGGUGCUGUUUAUUAUUUGUUAGAACAGUGUAAUAAUAAUAAUUUAUUUGUUUGACCAGUCAUAUGACCAUUUCAAAGGUUAGAACAGUGUAAAAUGAAAUAAGCAAUUAAUUUUUAAACAAUUACAGUGAAAUGAAAUGAAAACUUACUCUGUUCUUCUGUGUGUGUGUGUGUGUACGUAUGUGUAUGUGUUUGUGUGUACACACACAGAGGGCAUGUGUUUUGUGUGCAUGUGCAUUUGCCAAGAGGAAUAUAAAAGGUAUCUCCAAAGAAAUUCAAAUUUAGUUGAGUAAUCAAAACAGCAUCUAUUUUUAAAAAAACAAGGAAAGAAUUCUGAAUGCUGAAAGUUUUAUGUAUUUUACCACUUAAAAAAAUAGUUAUUCCAUGUUUUACUAUUUAUAUAAUUGCUGCUUUUUAAAAAAUGUUUCCCAGAUUUCUGGUGAACGAUGUCUCUCUAUGUCUCUUUGCCUGGGUUCUAUGAAUUAGUCUCCAGUGUUAAUACUGUAUGUUUUAUGUUGAUUUUAACGAUUGUUUUUACUGUAAUGGAUGUUUUUAUUGGAUAACUGUUUUAUUGCUGUGUUUUGAUAUUUGAUUGUUUUAUCGGGCAAGGCCCCAUGUAAGCCGCCCCGAGUCCCUUCGGGGAGAUGGGGCGGGGUAUAAAAAUAAAGUUGUUGUUGUUGUUAUUA
Long non-coding RNA from Anolis carolinensis (green anole), 7859 nucleotides. RefSeq lists it as uncharacterized. The transcript has 2 exons. NCBI's taxonomy places the organism in Eukaryota, Metazoa, Chordata, Lepidosauria, Squamata, Anolidae. The record is from RefSeq and is a predicted model, not a curated record.